AUUGAACGCUGGCGGAAUGCUUUACACAUGCAAGUCGAGCGGCAGUGCGGGGGCAACCCUGGCGGCGAGCGGCGAACGGGUGAGUAAUACAUCGGAACGUACCCUGUCGUGGGGGAUAACUAACCGAAAGGUUGGCUAAUACCGCAUACGACCUGAGGGUGAAAGCGGGGGAUCGCAAGACCUCGCGCGAUAGGAGCGGCCGAUGGCAGAUUAGCUAGUUGGUGAGGUAAAGGCUCACCAAGGCGACGAUCUGUAGCGGGUCUGAGAGGACGGCCCGCCACACUGGAACUGAGACACGGUCCAGACUCCUACGGGAGGCAGCAGUGGGGAAUUUUGGACAAUGGGGGCAACCCUGAUCCAGCCAUUCCGCGUGAGUGAAGAAGGCCUUCGGGUUGUAAAGCUCUUUCGGCAGGAACGAAAAGGCGGGCUCUAACAUAGCCUGUUGAUGACGGUACCUGAAGAAGAAGCACCGGCUAACUACGUGCCAGCAGCCGCGGUAA
Molecule: ribosomal RNA, 500 nt
Filed under: uncultured bacterium
Lineage: Bacteria
Description: bacterial SSU rRNA
Rfam family: Bacterial small subunit ribosomal RNA
Source: RNAcentral